GACGAACGCUGGCGGCGUGCUUAACACAUGUAAGUCGAACGGAAAGGCCCUGCUUUUGUGGGGUGCUCGAGUGGCGAACGGGUGAGUAACACGUGAGUAACCUGCCCUUGACUUUGGGAUAACUUCAGGAAACUGGGGCUAAUACCGGAUAGGAGCUCCUGCUGCAUGGUGGGGGUUGGAAAGUUUCGGCGGUUGGGGAUGGACUCGCGGCUUAUCAGCUUGUUGGUGGGGUAGUGGCUUACCAAGGCUUUGACGGGUAGCCGGCCUGAGAGGGUGACCGGCCACAUUGGGACUGAGAUACGGCCCAGACUCCUACGGGAGGCAGCAGUGGGGAAUAUUGCACAAUGGGCGGAGGCCUGAUGCAGCAACGCCGCGUGCGGGAUGACGGCCUUCGGGUUGUAAACCGCUUUCGCCUGUGACGAAGCGUGAGUGACGGUAAUGGGUAAAGAAGCACCGGCUAACUACGUG
This 468-nucleotide ribosomal RNA is filed under the name uncultured bacterium. RNAcentral describes it as "partial 16S ribosomal RNA". It matches the Rfam family "Bacterial small subunit ribosomal RNA", at positions 28 to 507 of the family's 1533-position model. The record is from RNAcentral.